RNAcentral lists this long non-coding RNA (306 nucleotides) under Phoenix dactylifera (date palm). RNAcentral describes it as "long non-coding RNA (PDAC_LNC013800)". Lineage: Eukaryota; Viridiplantae; Streptophyta; Magnoliopsida; Arecales; Arecaceae. The record is from RNAcentral.
UGAAAGGUGGUUACUUAAUUAGGACCUUACUCUCUGAGUAAGGGGAGCCUUCCACCUGCUUACCUGGCCAAUUGUUCGAUUACCUCUUAUGAAGAGCUAAAGUUGCAAACACUAAGACCUGAUUAACCAAUAUUAAGUCAAUAGGUCUUCCACUAUAGUAGAGCUGCUAAGGUCUUUCUGAUGUUGAUUUGUCUCGGCUGGACACAGUGGGCAAGUUGCAUCGGAGGGCUGGACCUCUCUAUAGACAUGAGAUGUUGUAGGGUAAAGGUGGGGUUGGGCACCAAUAACUGUUAGGUGAGGACCCAA